Molecule: ribosomal RNA, 433 nt
Filed under: uncultured bacterium
Lineage: Bacteria
Description: partial 16S ribosomal RNA
Rfam family: Bacterial small subunit ribosomal RNA
Source: RNAcentral
AACGAACGCUGGCGGCAUGCCUAACACAUGCAAGUCGAACGAGACCUUCGGGUUUAGUUGCGCUGGGGUGCGUAACGCGUGGGAACCUGCCCUUAGGUUCGGAAUAACUCCCCUAAAGGUGUGCUAAUACCGGUUAAUGUCUUCGGAGCAAAGAUCUAUUGCCUUUGGAUGGGGCCGCGUUGGAUUAGCUGGUUGGUAGGGUAAAAGCCUACCAACGCGACGAUCCAUGGCUGGUAUGAGAGGAUGAUCAACCGCACUGGCACUGAGGCACGGCCCAGACUCCUACGGGGGGGAGCAGUAGGGAAUAUUAGGGGCUGAGCGAAAGCCUAGUCCAGCAAUGCGGCGUGAGAGAGGAAGGCCUUAGGGUUGUAAAGCUCUUUUUCACGGGAUGAGAAUGACAGUACCGGGAAAAGAAGCUCCGGCUAACUCCGUG